CAAGGCGGAGGAUUAGGCUAGUGAGCUGCGGCGCCGGCCGCGUUUUGUAUUUUUAAAGCAGAUUUAUUUGUUUCUUUGGAAGGAAAGUGAAGAGAGAGAGAUCUUCUAUCUGCUGGUUCACACCCCAAAUGUUUGUGACCAGCUGGGGCUGGGCCAGGCUGAAGCUAGGAACCCAAAACUUCUUUCACGUCUCCUGCGUGGGUGGCAGGAACCCAGGUACUUGGGCUAUUCCCUGCUGCCACCCAGGCACAUUGGCAGGAGACUGGAUGGGAAGUGUGGAGUUGCCAGGACUUGAGCUAGCACUCGGAUACUGCAUGUGGGCAUCCCAAGUGGUGACUUAAGCCACUGUGCCUUGGUGCCUGACCAGGGCAAGCAGAGUUUACUUUAUUUAAGAUUUAUUUAUUUAUUUGAAAGGCAGAGUUUCAUAGAGGGAGAGGCAGAGAGAGAGAGAGAGAGAGAGAGAGAGAUUUUCUAUCUGCAAAUGGCCAGUCUGAAGGCAGGAGCUUCUUCUGGGUCUCCCAUGUGGGUGACAGGGACACAAGCACUUGGAACAUCUCCCACUGCUUUCCCAGGCUCAUGAGCAGGGAGCUGGAUCAGAAGUGGAGCAGCCAGGUCUUGAACUGGUGCCCUUAUGGAAUGGCUUUGGCUUAACCCCGCUGUGCCGCGGUGACUGACCAGGGCAAUCAUAUUUUAAACAGCAUUUCCUUGAUCUCCUGCUGGGGGUGGCAGGUGCAACAGCCCUUUCCAGGAAGUGUCGGGGGCCCUGUGCAGAGAGCCGUCCACUUUGGCUUGUCCCCAAAACAGCAAGUGUCUCCCCCCAGGCGAGAGACAGAGCUGAGUUUGGCGCAGCAACCCAGAGAGAGGGUGUGAGUGUCCCCACAGCCUGGACAGUGGAUGAGCCCAGGGCAGCCCCUCCUGAGCUGGUGAGCAGGUGCUGCUCCUGGGACUGGCUUGUAAAUGCUCCAGAGCAGGGGCCACGGUCUGCACAGGUCAGGGGGCUUCUCUGGGGGUCUACACAGGAGGGCGUUUGGAGGCAGCCUGCCUUCUGCUGUCCUGGAACUUUUGAGAGUGCAGACCAGCGCCCCUCCCCCUUGCCCUAUUUGCUACAUAGGAGUCAUGGAAUUCUGGCAUUUUCUCUUUUCUGCAGACGCUAUGUACUGGGAGACCGCAGAAGGAUCUGAGCAACACUGGUGCUUGGGCUCUCGUGGGAUCUCCCAGUGCUCUGGCCUGCAGGUGUCAAUCACUCAGAAGAAGGGAGAAGGCAGAGACGCGCUCCAGGAUGAGGCUCUCUGGGUCACCUCGCUCAGUGCUUCCUUGUUGGGGGACUUGGAUCCCGCCGGGGUACAGAGACAGGGUCUGGAGAAGCCUCCCCCGAGACCCUCAGGAAGGUAGCGACCCUGAGAGCACAGGGCACAGGUAAGGAAGAAGGGCUUCGGCUCCCCGGCUCCCCGGCUCCCUAGCCAAGGAGUGGCGCUGCCCAUGCAGUCCGUACCUGACCCCCGCCCGGGACCUGACCUAAGCCAUUCUGGGGAAGGGCGUCCACAGGAGACGGCUUAAGAGUGGAGCAGGGAGGCUGCCUUCUUAGGGUACUUGGGGCCACACUGCCCCUCUAAGCCCCUGCCACAUGUCUGGCUCAAAGCUGUGGCUUCCAGCCUCUGUCCCCCAGGCUCCCAGUGGGAGGUGGCCAGCGGCUCCAAUAGGGCAGUGACGUCUGAGCUGGGACAUGGAGCAGCAGGGGAGGCUGUGACCCCAUCACCAGGGCCUGUGUGGAGGCAGGGCCUCUCAGGGUGGACAUGGCUGCCCAGGAGGGUGGCCUGGGCUGGGAAGGUGGACCAGGGAGCAAAUGACGAGAUGCAAGUAGCGCCGACACUCUUGCACUGUGGGCCGAUGGGCGUGGCCACAGCUUCUCCCACUGGAAGGCCAAGGCACAUGGGGAGCGGCGCUGGUGCUGUCCUGAAACUUGGCGCCCCCUCAGCACAAAGACGUGGGUGGCCCCCUUCUCUCAGCAGUCGCUGCUGAGGGUACCGCUUCCUGGAAUCAUUGCAAAAGUCCUCGGCCAGCUCCCGUGUCACUCCCGGGUGGCAGAAAGGGAGUCCUGGAGAUGAGGGGACCCAGGGCCCUUCUGCGGGCAGGGGCCUGGAGUGGUGGCUGUGCUCGCAGACUGAGUGCGUCUGGAGCUGGGCCCGCCCCUGCCUCUAACUUUAGCUGCUUCCAGGACCGCCCUGCCCCCACCCCCAUCCUCUGUCUUGUCUAAAGGGAUGAGUGCCGCCGAGUCGGCCGUGGGCUCUGGGGAGCCACUUCUAAUGGGAAAACAUGCCCAUUUGCCUAAAUGAAUCAGAUCCAUUUCUCUCCCAUACAUAUUUCAUGGGUUUCCUCUCUACGUAAUUCAAUUAUCACUGUUGUUAGUGCUAAUGCCCAGCUUGGUGCGGCUCCGCUCCCCGACCCUCUGAGCGGAUGCUCCGAGGAGGAGCCCAGAGCAUGGAACCAUCUCUAUGGUAACAGGACGCCAUCGUAUUUCCUGGUGAUCUAUUGCUAUCGUCUUGAGGGCUCUGACUGUAUUGCCAGCAUUAAUAAAUAAGCCUGCGUUACACCCUGGUGACA
Oryctolagus cuniculus (rabbit) is the source of this 2601-nucleotide long non-coding RNA. The record is from Ensembl. Lineage: Eukaryota; Metazoa; Chordata; Mammalia; Lagomorpha; Leporidae.